Non-coding RNA from Physcomitrium patens, 2246 nucleotides. The record is from RefSeq and is a predicted model, not a curated record. Lineage: Eukaryota; Viridiplantae; Streptophyta; Bryopsida; Funariales; Funariaceae.
CCCUAAAUUAAGCUCGUCGAGAGACUUCGUGACUUGGGGCCCUCAAUAAUCAGACACGAUGUUAGCGUUUUCUCAGGCCUUUUUGGGUGUUAGCAUUAAUACAGGGUUUUGUUAAUAAUGUACAAAAGCGGAGAGAAAAAGAGGGGUUUCAAGAUUAUCAGGAGUUGAGGCGGUCAUUUGAGUCCCGAAAUAUGCAAUUUGGGUCAGAAAUCGUCAAAUUGCGACAACCAAAUAAGUGAAAAUGGAGGGAGGUUGGGUGGAGGGAAGAGCCUGUCAGCUGAGAAUAUGGAGAAGCUCAGCCUCUAUCUCUCCGUCACUGGAUCGAGAAUUAGACUUCCGCUUCUUCUUCUUCUUCUUCUUCAUCUCCUUCUACUUGUUCUUUUCUUCUUUUUGCUGUGUAUGUGGUUAGGGGUAUAUUUUGGAGAUGAAGCCUCCGAGACUGGAAUGCGGUUUGUCUGUCUGCUUGCCCGCCCCUUCAAAGUCCAAGUCUAAGGACGAAGUUGCACUUCCGCUGACCUUUCUUCUCCACCACUAGCACUCCUAGUUGCAGUUGACGUACUGCUAAUUCCUCUUCUUCUUCUUCUUCUUCAUUAUAUUCUCCCACUGUGGAUGAGAGCCAGUGAGGGGCAUUGACACUGGAAUGGUUCGUCCCGAGGUGGGCUUUUGAGGGAAGCGCUGCAAGAUGAAGAUAGGGGUGUUCGAGUUUGCGUGGGCCGAGAAAAGUGAUAAUGACUCCUCCCAGAAAAAAAGUGACGAUGCCAACCUCCUCUGAAAACCCUAAGUCCUUUACCAACAAAAACCUGUGCAUGUGUGUGUGUGUGUUGCCUGACAGUGUUGUUGUUGUUAUUGUUGCUGCUGCUGCUGCAUUUGAGCAUGCACCGCUAUGAAACAAAACUGAAAAGGGAACGCAGCUAGGGAAUUCAAACACAGACGAUCCUGCUGAUGGUUGCCACGACAUACUUCUGGUUUUUCUCCUUCGAGGGCAUGUGAUAAGCCUGGAGGAGGGGCUUGUAAAGAUCAAAACAGAACAAGGGUUUUUUAACGUCAUAUUAGUUCAUAUAUUUACCUAUACACACACACGCACAUUCAAACAAUUUCAGAGUUUAUAGACUGUGAAGUGGGCAUCCAGUUAUUAAGGAUUCUCACAUUGGACUUGUCAUUCAAGGUAAGUUUGUUGAUUGACUAAAACAAACAUGAAAAUUGAUUGUACUCUACAUUUGUGGGAAACAAUGCCAAAGUUGAUUUUGUGGGUUCCAUCCAUCCUUUUACUCACUUGUGUGUAUCUGUACUGGCAAGGUAUCAUGCAAACACGGUCUGGAACUGCACAUUAUUCUUCUGCAGUAAAAAUAAAUAAUCAUGGGUUGCUGCACAGUACCAUCUUAGUAGAAAAGACACAUUCUCGUGACUCAUCGUUGUGCAAUAAGUCCCUCCGAUCACUCGGAUUCUUUCGUUGAACCUUAAACCUACACAACACGAGAGCGUUUUUCUACACACGCAAAUGGCAUCCUUGCAGACACUUAAGGCAAGGGGAUGCAAAAGCAAUUUUUGUCACCGUAUGUAGAAUUGAAACAGCUCCUUCUGUUUGAACAGACUGGAUGGCUCUAGUGAGGAAGUCACUGCGGACUGGGGGCAUUGAAUCAGGUUUGUUACAGCCCUGGGGCCUCAACAACCACGCCAUCGCUGCAAUGGUCUCUUUUACAAAGAACCCGCGUCUUUGCAGCCUUUAUAUAUAUUUUUGUUUUUUGUUUUAACAGACAAGCCCAUUUAAACUUCCCUUGUACUCUUUGUGAAAACAACGUUGGAGCUGCUGAUGGGCAUUUGAAGAGAUUUUUCCCCUAACAAGUUCACACUGCAAUCAGAGCACUCUUAAACACAUACAGAACCCCCGCCAUUACAGCCGUGCAAUGAAAUUGUCAACACAGAAUAUGAGCCUCUGUAAAGACCGGCCAGGCCUAACAGUAACCUCCGGGGAGUCAUUCACAUGCAUCGCAUAAAUUGAUGUGACAAUCAUGCGACCAUUUGGCUGGUUGUUAUUUAUGCAUGGGAGGGGACCACAAAAGCUCGGCCAUUGAAGGUUAUGGUUGAAUCUGGUGGUGCAUAAACUUGGGGUAUCUACAGACAGCUACUCCCCGAUCACGAUCCAUGCACAUACUACUGUUACCUUGCGUUAGCAUUUUCUAGAAAAGUCAAUGACCACUUGUAGCAUGUUGGUAUUUCAACGAGAUUCUUGGGGUUGCCAGUAGAGG